AUUGAACGCUGGCGGCAUGCCUUACACAUGCAAGUCGAACGGCAGCAUGAUCUAACUUGCUAGAUUGAUGGCGAGUGGCGAACGGGUGAGUAAUACAUCGGAACGUGCCCUGUAGUGGGGGAUAACUAGUCGAAAGAUUAGCUAAUACCGCAUACGACCUGAGGGUGAAAGUGGGGGACCGCAAGGCCUCAUGCUAUAGGAGCGGCCGAUGUCUGAUUAGCUAGUUGGUGGGGUAAAGGCCCACCAAGGCGACGAUCAGUAGCUGGUCUGAGAGGACGAUCAGCCACACUGGGACUGAGACACGGCCCAGACUCCUACGGGAGGCAGCAGUGGGGAAUUUUGGACAAUGGGGGCAACCCUGAUCCAGCAAUGCCGCGUGUGUGAAGAAGGCCUUCGGGUUGUAAAGCACUUUUGUCCGGAAAGAAAUCGCACUUACUAAUAUUAGGUGUGGAUGACGGUACCGGAAGAAUAAGGACCGGCUAACUACGUG
Molecule: ribosomal RNA, 490 nt
Filed under: uncultured bacterium
Lineage: Bacteria
Description: partial 16S ribosomal RNA
Rfam family: Bacterial small subunit ribosomal RNA
Source: RNAcentral